AGGACGAACGCUGGCGGCGUGCUUAACACAUGCAAGUCGAGCGGUAAGGCCUUUCGGGGUACACGAGCGGCGAACGGGUGAGUAACACGUGGGUGAUCUGCCCUGCACUCUGGGAUAAGCCUGGGAAACUGGGUCUAAUACCGGAUAUGACUCCAGCAUGCAUGUGCUGGGGUGGAAAGCUUUUGUGGUGCAGGAUGGGCCCGCGGCCUAUCAGCUUGUUGGUGGGGUAAUGGCCUACCAAGGCGACGACGGGUAGCCGACCUGAGAGGGUGACCGGCCACACUGGGACUGAGACACGGCCCAGACUCCUACGGGAGGCAGCAGUGGGGAAUAUUGCACAAUGGGCGGAAGCCUGAUGCAGCGACGCCGCGUGAGGGAUGAAGGCCUUCGGGUUGUAAACCUCUUUCAGCAGGGACGAAGCGUGAGUGACGGUACCUGCAGAAGAAGCACCGGCUAACUACGUGCCAGCAGCCGCGGUAAUACGUAGGGUGCGAGCGUUGUCCGGAAUUACUGGGCGUAAAGAGUUCGUAGGCGGUUUGUCGCGUCGUUUGUGAAAACCCGGGGCUCAACUUCGGGCUUGCAGGCGAUACGGGCAGACUUGAGUGUUUCAGGGGAGACUGGAAUUCCUGGUGUAGCGGUGAAAUGCGCAGAUAUCAGGAGGAACACCGGUGGCGAAGGCGGGUCUCUGGGAAACAACUGACGCUGAGGAACGAAAGCGUGGGUAGCAAACAGGAUUAGAUACCCUGGUAGUCCACGCCG
This 759-nucleotide ribosomal RNA is filed under the name Rhodococcoides fascians. RNAcentral's name for it is "bacterial SSU rRNA". It matches the Rfam family "Bacterial small subunit ribosomal RNA", at positions 26 to 802 of the family's 1533-position model. Lineage: Bacteria; Bacillati; Actinomycetota; Actinomycetes; Mycobacteriales; Nocardiaceae. The record is from RNAcentral.